Molecule: long non-coding RNA, 202 nt
Filed under: Nicotiana benthamiana
Lineage: Eukaryota; Viridiplantae; Streptophyta; Magnoliopsida; Solanales; Solanaceae
Description: long non-coding RNA (NBEN_LNC038010)
Source: RNAcentral
UCAAAACCCCCAAUCACAACUAUACAUGAACGAUGGACACGAUCUACCACAAUAAAAUCGCCCACCGGUGUAGGCACAUAUACAGGAGCACUCAAGGAAUCAUUAAGCAUGACCAGAUACGGUGCAAAAUAAGAUGACACAUAGGAGUAUAUAGAUUUUGGAUCAAAUAGAGCUAAAACAUCUCUAUACAAACCAGAACAGU